This 2901-nucleotide ribosomal RNA is filed under the name Shigella flexneri. RNAcentral describes it as "23S ribosomal RNA". It matches the Rfam family "Bacterial large subunit ribosomal RNA". The record is from RNAcentral. Lineage: Bacteria; Pseudomonadati; Pseudomonadota; Gammaproteobacteria; Enterobacterales; Enterobacteriaceae.
GGUUAAGCGACUAAGCGUACACGGUGGAUGCCCUGGCAGUCAGAGGCGAUGAAGGACGUGCUAAUCUGCGAUAAGCGUCGGUAAGGUGAUAUGAACCGUUAUAACCGGCGAUUUCCGAAUGGGGAAACCCAGUGUGAUUCGUCACACUAUCAUUAACUGAAUCCAUAGGUUAAUGAGGCGAACCGGGGGAACUGAAACAUCUAAGUACCCCGAGGAAAAGAAAUCAACCGAGAUUCCCCAGUAGCGGCGAGCGAACGGGGAGCAGCCCAGAGCCUGAAUCAGUGUGUGUGUUAGUGGAAGCGUCUGGAAAGGCGUGCGAUACAGGGUGACAGCCCCGUACACAAAAAUGCACAUACUGUGAGCUCGAUGAGUAGGGCGGGACACGUGGUAUCCUGUCUGAAUAUGGGGGACCAUCCUCCAAGGCUAAAUACUCCUGACUGACCGAUAGUGAACCAGUACCGUGAGGGAAAGGCGAAAAGAACCCCGGCGAGGGGAGUGAAAAAGAACCUGAAACCGUGUACGUACAAGCAGUGGGAGCACGCUUAGGCGUGUGACUGCGUACCUUUUGUAUAAUGGGUCAGCGACUUAUAUUCUGUAGCAAGGUUAACCGAAUAGGGGAGCCGAAGGGAAACCGAGUCUUAACUGGGCGUUAAGUUGCAGGGUAUAGACCCGAAACCCGGUGAUCUAGCCAUGGGCAGGUUGAAGGUUGGGUAACACUAACUGGAGGACCGAACCGACUAAUGUUGAAAAAUUAGCGGAUGACUUGUGGCUGGGGGUGAAAGGCCAAUCAAACCGGGAGAUAGCUGGUUCUCCCCGAAAGCUAUUUAGGUAGCGCCUCGUGAAUUCAUCUCCGGGGGUAGAGCACUGUUUCGGCAAGGGGGUCAUCCCGACUUACCAACCCGAUGCAAACUGCGAAUACCGGAGAAUGUUAUCACGGGAGACACACGGCGGGUGCUAACGUCCGUCGUGAAGAGGGAAACAACCCAGACCGCCAGCUAAGGUCCCAAAGUCAUGGUUAAGUGGGAAACGAUGUGGGAAGGCCCAGACAGCCAGGAUGUUGGCUUAGAAGCAGCCAUCAUUUAAAGAAAGCGUAAUAGCUCACUGGUCGAGUCGGCCUGCGCGGAAGAUGUAACGGGGCUAAACCAUGCACCGAAGCUGCGGCAGCGACGCUUAUGCGUUGUUGGGUAGGGGAGCGUUCUGUAAGCCUGUGAAGGUGUGCUGUGAGGUAUGCUGGAGGUAUCAGAAGUGCGAAUGCUGACAUAAGUAACGAUAAAGCGGGUGAAAAGCCCGCUCGCCGGAAGACCAAGGGUUCCUGUCCAACGUUAAUCGGGGCAGGGUGAGUCGACCCCUAAGGCGAGGCCGAAAGGCGUAGUCGAUGGGAAACAGGUUAAUAUUCCUGUACUUGGUGUUACUGCGAAGGGGGACGGAGAAGGCUAUGUUGGCCGGGCGACGGUUGUCCCGGUUUAAGCGUGUAGGCUGGUUUUCCAGGCAAAUCCGGAAAAUCAAGGCCGAGGCGUGAUGACGAGGCACUACGGUGCUGAAGCAACAAAUGCCCUGCUUCCAGGAAAAGCCUCUAAGCAUCAGGUAACAUCAAAUCGUACCCCAAACCGACACAGGUGGUCAGGUAGAGAAUACCAAGGCGCUUGAGAGAACUCGGGUGAAGGAACUAGGCAAAAUGGUGCCGUAACUUCGGGAGAAGGCACGCUGAUACGUAGGUGAAGCGACUUGCUCGUGGAGCUGAAAUCAGUCGAAGAUACCAGCUGGCUGCAACUGUUUAUUAAAAACACAGCACUGUGCAAACACGAAAGUGGACGUAUACGGUGUGACGCCUGCCCGGUGCCGGAAGGUUAAUUGAUGGGGUUAGCGCAAGCGAAGCUCUUGAUCGAAGCCCCGGUAAACGGCGGCCGUAACUAUAACGGUCCUAAGGUAGCGAAAUUCCUUGUCGGGUAAGUUCCGACCUGCACGAAUGGCGUAAUGAUGGCCAGGCUGUCUCCACCCGAGACUCAGUGAAAUUGAACUCGCUGUGAAGAUGCAGUGUACCCGCGGCAAGACGGAAAGACCCCGUGAACCUUUACUAUAGCUUGACACUGAACAUUGAGCCUUGAUGUGUAGGAUAGGUGGGAGGCUUUGAAGUGUGGACGCCAGUCUGCAUGGAGCCGACCUUGAAAUACCACCCUUUAAUGUUUGAUGUUCUAACGUGGACCCGUGAUCCGGGUUGCGGACAGUGUCUGGUGGGUAGUUUGACUGGGGCGGUCUCCUCCUAAAGAGUAACGGAGGAGCACGAAGGUUGGCUAAUCCUGGUCGGACAUCAGGAGGUUAGUGCAAUGGCAUAAGCCAGCUUGACUGCGAGCGUGACGGCGCGAGCAGGUGCGAAAGCAGGUCAUAGUGAUCCGGUGGUUCUGAAUGGAAGGGCCAUCGCUCAACGGAUAAAAGGUACUCCGGGGAUAACAGGCUGAUACCGCCCAAGAGUUCAUAUCGACGGCGGUGUUUGGCACCUCGAUGUCGGCUCAUCACAUCCUGGGGCUGAAGUAGGUCCCAAGGGUAUGGCUGUUCGCCAUUUAAAGUGGUACGCGAGCUGGGUUUAGAACGUCGUGAGACAGUUCGGUCCCUAUCUGCCGUGGGCGCUGGAGAACUGAGGGGGGCUGCUCCUAGUACGAGAGGACCGGAGUGGACGCAUCACUGGUGUUCGGGUUGUCAUGCCAAUGGCACUGCCCGGUAGCUAAAUGCGGAAGAGAUAAGUGCUGAAAGCAUCUAAGCACGAAACUUGCCCCGAGAUGAGUUCUCCCUGACCCUUUAAGGGUCCUGAAGGAACGUUGAAGACGACGACGUUGAUAGGCCGGGUGUGUAAGCGCAGCGAUGCGUUGAGCUAACCGGUACUAAUGAACCGUGAGGCUUAACCUU